CACUCUCCUCCAGGGUUGGGUCACUUUGCUUACCCUGUGCUGGGGGUAAGCUGCAUGCACACAGGGAGAAUGCCACGUGAAGACAAGGCAGAGAUCAGGUGAAGCGUCCACAAGCCAAGAGAUGCCUAAUCCUGCCAGAACCUGGGAGAUAGGCAUGAAACAGAUUCUCCCUCAUGGGCAGCAGGAGGAGAUCUUGUCUCCUCAGAAGGAAGCAACCCUGCUGACCUUGAUUUCAGGCUUCAGCCUCCAGAACAGAGGCAAUACAUUUCUGUUGUUGAAAUACAUAACUUGUGAAUCUGUGUUACAGCAGCACUAGCAAACUGAUACAGCGUCGACAGACAGCAGGAAUUUGUGUGGCACACAGAAAGCAAACUUGCUGCCAGUUGAAAUGAACAGAACCUGAGCACCCCCUACCCCUCCCAUGGCUGUCACUUGCAAAGCUGUUAAACAUGAUGCAGCUGACCAGGGUGGGGAGGUGGGCUGCAGGGGGUACCCAGGCUGCCUACAAAACCAGCUUGUCCCCUGCCUGAUUGCAGAUGAGUGCCCUGGCCAGGCAGAGGAGCAGAGGAGGAAAACUUGGCUACAUCCCUGCCUGCCUCCCUGGCCAGGGUGGUGCUCCCUGCCAGCUGGCCCAGCUCCCCACCACAUACCUGGCCGGGAGUCAGUAGGAAAACAGUGUGUGUUUAUAGGGCUUUGUACUGAAGGGCGUUAGAUCAAUGCAAAGCUAAUAAAUUAGAGAUAAG
RNAcentral lists this long non-coding RNA (743 nucleotides) under Marmota monax (woodchuck). The record is from RNAcentral. Lineage: Eukaryota; Metazoa; Chordata; Mammalia; Rodentia; Sciuridae.